This is a long non-coding RNA of Numida meleagris (helmeted guineafowl), 1128 nucleotides long. RefSeq lists it as uncharacterized. The record is from RefSeq and is a predicted model, not a curated record. NCBI's taxonomy places the organism in Eukaryota, Metazoa, Chordata, Aves, Galliformes, Numididae. The transcript is spliced from 3 exons.
AGGCAACAGUCUUGAUUCUGAAUGUGAUCUAUGAUGGCUUCAAAGCAAAAGAAUAAGUGCAAGACUGUUAUUCCCCUCCUACCCUCAUGUCUUCUUGAGGAAGAUUGGAACUGUCAGCCUUUGGACCCAAAGGGACAGUAGAUGGAUGGGCUAAACAGCGAAAAGAGGCAGAUACUAGAAAGAUGUCCUGCAACCAUCCUUAAAGGAAAAUGGCAGUUGAGGGAGUAAUUGAAAAGAACACAUUAUUUUUAAAGAAAGAAAUGCAGGGCUUUCCACAUCAGUUUCACCAGUAAGUGCUUCACAUCAUAAGAAAAAGCAAAACUAUGGUACAAGACUUCUUCCUAUGUAGUUCUCUGCUAUCUUGUUUUGAGGCCGAGCCUGCUAAGAGGCAGUUGUGCAUCUGUAGAUGUUAUGCUGCAUAAAAGCUUAGUAAUUUGAUUUUUGUGAGCAAACUGCCAGAUCUAUAGAAGAGAGGAAAAAAGGGCACCAGUUUAUUCAACAAAGGUCUGAGGAGAAGUGGCGAUGGAACAUGAGGAAGAGAGUUGAAAAAAUACAGCAACAUCAUUAUCUUAGUAAAAAUUUGACAAAUGUGAUUGUGGGUUGGUGUAAGAGAGGAAAGGUUAAGCUCUCAGAAGCUCUCGUCCCUUGAACAAAAUAGGAGAAAUCUUACUUCAAAAUGGCAACAUACAGCACAGUGAGCUGCUCUGAAGAUUCAGAGUGUUGACCAGGAAGUCACAACUGAGCUAUUUUCUGCUUGUUGGGAUGAAAGUGGAAUUCAGAGAGACUACAUGGAUCUUAAGCAAAAGCAAGCAAAAAAUACCACCACUAAACAAACAAACUGACUAAAAAACAGACCAGGUAAUUCCACAUAGCACUUCAGAUAUUUCCAUAUUUGAAGAUCCUAAACUACUUUUAAUAACUCAGCUAGGUGGUUGCUAUUUUGAAGGAGGCAAUUCGGCUGAUGUUUCAAGUAGGUGAAGAAGAGCACAGGUUAUUGCAAGGUUAAUUGAUUUUGUGACAUAUAGAUGAAAUGAGGGAUGUUUUACUCUACCAGAUAUUUUGGAAAUGAAUAAGUUAAAGCCUCGACUUCCAUUCACAGUGAGGAAGAUUCCUGCUUAUAAUUUUGUA